AGAGUUUGAUCAUGGCUCAGAAUCAACGCUGGCGGCGCGCUUAACACAUGCAAGUCGCACGAGAAAGUGGAGCAAUCCAUGAGUACAGUGGCGCACGGGUGAGUAACACGUGGAUAAUCUACCUCUUAGUGGGGAAUAACUCUGGGAAACCGGAGCUAAUACCGCAUAAUCUCGGGAGAGGAAAGCAGCAAUGCGCUGAGAGAGGAGUCCGCGGUCGAUUAGCUUGUUGGCGGGGUAACGGCCCACCAAGGCUUUGAUCGAUAGCCGGCCUGAGAGGGCACACGGCCACACUGGCACUGAAACACGGGCCAGACUCCUACGGGAGGCAGCAGUGGGGAAUCUUGCACAAUGGAGGAAACUCUGAUGCAGCGACGCCGCGUGAGUGACGAAGCCCUUCGGGGUGUAAAGCUCUUUCGACGGGGACGAUAAUGACGGUACCCGGAGAAGAAGCUGCGGCUAACUCCGUGCCAGCCGCCGCGGUAAUUC
This 486-nucleotide ribosomal RNA is filed under the name uncultured bacterium. Its description in RNAcentral is "bacterial SSU rRNA". It matches the Rfam family "Bacterial small subunit ribosomal RNA", at positions 8 to 526 of the family's 1533-position model. The record is from RNAcentral.